Molecule: long non-coding RNA, 425 nt
Organism: Mercurialis annua (annual mercury)
Lineage: Eukaryota; Viridiplantae; Streptophyta; Magnoliopsida; Malpighiales; Euphorbiaceae
Exons: 3
Source: RefSeq, a predicted model, not a curated record
ACAGUAACAGUUGAUCAUUUUCUUCCUCCUAUCUUUUCCUUGCGCGACCUUCACGGCCGUGUCCAUAAGUUCAUAAUCCGACGACCAAUUUCAAUGAUUCAAGCUCGGUUGGAGAGCUAACUCACACACGAACAAGAUACGACGGAUAUCGAGAUACAAACUUGGAUAAUCAAGGGAGCUUGACGAGAAUCGACGUUAUCUUAUUUAUGUUGGAUUGGAUAGCGGUCACUGUAGUCAGAGUCGGAUCAGACAAACCAUCUUCAUUGUGCCAGAAGUCAUUGGACUUUCACAAGCAUGAGUUCCUAGAGCUGCAGUAGUCAGUAGGUGUCAGUAUUAGAUAGACAUUUUGACUUUAAAUAGUAUUUUAUAUUGUAAACUCUAAUAUGAUAUUUUAAUGUCUAUAAAUGCAUUAUCUAAAAGAGUUU